This 253-nucleotide ribosomal RNA is filed under the name uncultured bacterium. RNAcentral's name for it is "partial 16S ribosomal RNA". It matches the Rfam family "Bacterial small subunit ribosomal RNA", at positions 524 to 776 of the family's 1533-position model. The record is from RNAcentral.
UACAGAGGUCUCAAGCGUUGUUCGGAUUCAUUGGGCGUAAAGGGUGCGUAGGCGGCGCGGUAAGUCGGGUGUGAAAUUUCGGAGCUUAACUCCGAAACUGCAUUCGAUACUGCGGUGCUUGAGGACUGGAGAGGAGACUGGAAUUUACGGUGUAGCAGUGAAAUGCGUAGAUAUCGUAAGGAAGACCAGUGGCGAAGGCGGGUCUCUGGACAGUUCCUGACACUGAGACACGAAGGCCAGGGGAGCAAACGGG